UCCAGACUCCUACGGGAGGCAGCAGUGGGGAAUAUUGGGCAAUGGGCGCAAGCCUGACCCAGCAACGCCGCGUGAAGGAAGAAGGCUUUCGGGUUGUAAACUUCUUUUCUGGGGGACGAAGAAAGUGACGGUACCCCAGGAAUAAGCCACGGCUAACUCCGUGCCAGCAGCCGCGGUAAUACGGAGGAUGCGAGCGUUAUCCGGAUUUAUUGGGUUUAAAGGGUGCGCAGGCGGAGGCACAAGUCAGCGGUAAAACCGGGGGGCCCAACCCCGCUCCGCCGUUGAAACUGUGUCCCUUGAGUGCGCGAAGGGUAGGCGGAAUGCGUGGUGUAGCGGUGAAAUGCAUAGAUAUCACGCAGAACUCCGAUCGCGAAGGCAGCCUACCGGCGCGCAACUGACGCUCAUGCACGAAAGCGUGGGUAUCGAACAGGAUUAGAUACCCGGGUAC
This 448-nucleotide ribosomal RNA is filed under the name uncultured bacterium. Its description in RNAcentral is "bacterial SSU rRNA". It matches the Rfam family "Bacterial small subunit ribosomal RNA", at positions 330 to 793 of the family's 1533-position model. The record is from RNAcentral.